This 181-nucleotide non-coding RNA is filed under the name Mycoplasmatota bacterium. RNAcentral describes it as "Tenericutes bacterium 6S RNA". It matches the Rfam family "6S / SsrS RNA". From Rfam's summary of the family: E. coli 6S RNA was the first non coding RNA to be sequenced, but its function was unknown until recently. The record is from RNAcentral. Lineage: Bacteria; Bacillati; Mycoplasmatota.
GAGAGUCGAACUAUUUCGAAGAUUUAUGAUAUUAAUCCGAACACUUUUAAUAAGGAAGUUGGGUAUACUUAAUUCUGUGUUGAAAGCUUACUUUAAGUAAGAAUCCUAAAGAAUUGGUCUAAACUUCCACCUAUACAUAUUGCGGGUUAAUUUGGAAAGUCUACGUUUAGUUGGACCUUUU